AAAGUCGUAACAAGGUUUCCGUAGGUGAACCUGCGGAAGGAUCAUUACUGAAUUGUCAACACGAGUUGUUGCUGGUCCCCAAAUGGGGGCACGUGCACGCUCUGUUCGCACAUCCAUUCACACCUGUGCACCCCAUGUAGUUCUAUGGUUUGGGGGACUCUCCCUCUGCUGUGGUUCUAUAUCUUUACACACACUCUGUAAUAAAGUCUUAUGGAAUGUAUGCAGCGUUUAACGCAAUACAAUACAACUUUCAGCAACGGAUCUCUUGGCUCUC
RNAcentral lists this unclassified non-coding RNA (274 nucleotides) under Basidiomycota sp. RNAcentral's name for it is "partial contains small subunit ribosomal RNA, internal transcribed spacer 1, and 5.8S ribosomal RNA". The stretch from base 1 to 47 matches the Rfam family "Eukaryotic small subunit ribosomal RNA", at positions 1785 to 1831 of the family's 1831-position model. Lineage: Eukaryota; Fungi; Basidiomycota. The record is from RNAcentral.